RNAcentral lists this ribosomal RNA (434 nucleotides) under uncultured bacterium. Its description in RNAcentral is "partial 16S ribosomal RNA". It matches the Rfam family "Bacterial small subunit ribosomal RNA", at positions 29 to 507 of the family's 1533-position model. The record is from RNAcentral.
AGCGAACGCUGGCGGCAGGCCUAACACAUGCAAGUCGAACGAACCUUUCGGGGUUAGUGGCGGACGGGUGAGUAACACGUGGGAACGUGCCUUUAGGUUCGGAAUAACUCAGGGAAACUUGUGCUAAUACCGAAUGUGCCCUUCGGGGGAAAGAUUAAUCGCCUUUAGAGCGGCCCGCGUCUGAUUAGCUAGUUGGUUGAGGUAAUGGCUCACCAAGGCGACGAUCAGUAGCUGGUCUGAGAGGAUGAUCAGCCACAUUGGGACUGAGACACGGCCCAAACUCCUACGGGAGGCAGCAGCGGGGAAUCUUGCGCAAUGGGCGAAAGCCUGACGCAGCCAUGCCGCGUGAAUGAUGAAGGUCUUAGGAUUGUAAAAUUCUUUCACCGGGGACGAUAAUGACGGUACCCGGAGAAGAAGCCCCGGCUAACUUCGUG